This 894-nucleotide ribosomal RNA is filed under the name uncultured haloarchaeon. Its description in RNAcentral is "bacterial SSU rRNA". It matches the Rfam family "Archaeal small subunit ribosomal RNA", at positions 1 to 897 of the family's 1478-position model. Lineage: Archaea; Methanobacteriati; Methanobacteriota; Halobacteria; Halobacteriales; Halobacteriaceae. The record is from RNAcentral.
UUCCGGUUGAUCCUGCCGGAGGCCAUUGCUAUCGGAGUUCGAUUUAGCCAUGCUAGUCGCACGAGUUCAGACUCGUGGCGGAUAGCUCAGUAACACGUGGUCAAACUACCCUAUAGACCAGCAUAACCUCGGGAAACUGAGGCUAAUACUGGAUAAAGCUCCCUUGCUGGAAUGCAGGGAGCUGGAAAUGCUCCGGCGCUAUAGGAUGUGGCUGCGGCCGAUUAGGUAGACGGUGGGGUAACGGCCCACCGUGCCGAUAAUCGGUACGGGUUGUGAGAGCAAGAGCCCGGAGAUGGAUUCUGAGACAAGAAUCCAGGCCCUACGGGGCGCAGCAGGCGCGAAAACUUUACACUGCACGACAGUGCGAUAAGGGAACUCCGAGUGCGAGGGCAUAUAGUCCUCGCUUUUGUGUAUCGUAAGGUGGUACACGAAUAAGAGCUGGGCAAGACCGGUGCCAGCCGCCGCGGUAAUACCGGCAGCUCAAGUGAUGGCCGCUUUUAUUGGGCCUAAAGCGUCCGUAGCCGGCCAGACAAGUCCGUCGGGAAAUCCACCUGCUCAACAGGUGGGCGUCCGGCGGAAACUCUCUGGCUUGGGACCAGAAGACCCGAGGGGUACGUCCGGGGUAGGAGUGAAAUCCCGUAAUCCUGGACGGACCACCGAUAGCGAAGGCACCUCGGGAGGAUGGAUCCGACGGUGAGGGACGAAAGCUGGGGUCUCGAACCGGAUUAGAUACCCGGGUAGUCCCAGCCGUAAACGAUGUCCGCUAGGUGUGGCACAGGCUACGAGCCUGUGCUGUGCCGUAGGGAAGCCGAGAAGCGGACCGCCUGGGAAGUACGUCCGCAAGGAUGAAACUUAAAGGAAUUGGCGGGGGAGCACUACAACCGGAGGAGCCUG